This is a long non-coding RNA of Pogoniulus pusillus (Red-fronted tinkerbird), 355 nucleotides long. RefSeq lists it as uncharacterized. The record is from RefSeq and is a predicted model, not a curated record. The transcript has 3 exons. NCBI's taxonomy places the organism in Eukaryota, Metazoa, Chordata, Aves, Piciformes, Lybiidae.
GAUGUUUGCUGGCUGAAAUUUUUGCAUGAUCUGGUGCUCUAUGCUUUUUCGUGCUGCUGUGCCUUGGCAGCUGUGUUGCAGUGCGUGUUAGUGCCAUUGCAUGGUCUGCCCCGACACAGGCAGCUCCUGCUGCUGCAAGACCAGUGCCUGGAAAAAAGGGUGUGGAGCCAGGAGGGAACACAUUCCACAGGAAUAUCUUCUCACAAGCAGCUGUGGGUUUUUUGACAACUGCCCUUGCAACUGUAAAGAAAUGUAAUUUCAUCUGUAAUAAAGCACCUGAUGGGCAGUGAUCCCUGGCAAACAGUAUUUCAGCUUAAUGCUAAGCGUUGAAAAAACAUCAUCGAAAAAUAAAGAU